Molecule: ribosomal RNA, 250 nt
Filed under: uncultured bacterium
Lineage: Bacteria
Description: partial 16S ribosomal RNA
Rfam family: Bacterial small subunit ribosomal RNA
Source: RNAcentral
UACAGAGGUCUCAAGCGUUGUUCGGAUUCAUUGGGCGUAAAGGGUGCGUAGGUGGUGACGCAAGUCUGGUGUGAAAUCUCGGAGCUCAACUCCGAAAUUGCACCGGAUACUGCGUGACUCGAGGACUGUAGAGGAGAUCGGAAUUCACGGUGUAGCAGUGAAAUGCGUAGAUAUCGUGAGGAAGACCAGUUGCGAAGGCGGAUCUCUGGGCAGUUCCUGACACUGAGGCACGAAGGCCAGGGGAGCAAAC